Molecule: transfer RNA, 77 nt
Filed under: Holosporaceae bacterium
Lineage: Bacteria; Pseudomonadati; Pseudomonadota; Alphaproteobacteria; Holosporales; Holosporaceae
Description: tRNA-Arg
Rfam family: tRNA
About the family: Transfer RNA (tRNA) molecules are approximately 80 nucleotides in length. Their secondary structure includes four short double-helical elements and three loops (D, anti-codon, and T loops).
Source: RNAcentral
GCGGUCGUAGCUCAGCUGGAUAGAGCACGGGAUUCCUAAUCUCGGGGUCAUGGGUUCAAAUCCCUUCGAUCGCACCA